AGUGAACGCUGGCGGUAGGCCUAACACAUGCAAGUCGAACGGCAGCACAGGAGAGCUUGCUCUCUGGGUGGCGAGUGGCGGACGGGUGAGGAAUACAUCGGAAUCUACUCUGUCGUGGGGGAUAACGUAGGGAAACUUACGCUAAUACCGCAUACGACCUACGGGUGAAAGCAGGGGAUCUUCGGACCUUGCGCGAUUGAAUGAGCCGAUGUCGGAUUAGCGAGUUGGCGGGGUAAAGGCCCACCAAGGCGACGAUCCGUAGCUGGUCUGUGAGGCUGAUCAGCCACACUGGAACUGAGACACGGUCCAGACUCCUACGGGAGGCAGCAGUGGGGAAUAUUGGACAAUGGGCGCAAGCCUGAUCCAGCCAUACCGCGUGGGUUAAGAAGGCCUUCGGGUUGUAAAGCCCUUUUGUUGGGAAAGAAAUCCAGCUGGCUAACACCCGGUUGGGAUGACGGUACCCAAAGAAUAAGCACCGGCUAACUUCGUGCCAGCCGCCGCAGUAA
RNAcentral lists this ribosomal RNA (506 nucleotides) under uncultured bacterium. Its description in RNAcentral is "partial 16S ribosomal RNA". It matches the Rfam family "Bacterial small subunit ribosomal RNA", at positions 29 to 523 of the family's 1533-position model. The record is from RNAcentral.